This 199-nucleotide ribosomal RNA is filed under the name uncultured bacterium. RNAcentral's name for it is "partial 16S ribosomal RNA". It matches the Rfam family "Bacterial small subunit ribosomal RNA", at positions 328 to 539 of the family's 1533-position model. The record is from RNAcentral.
ACGCUCGACACCUACGGGAGGCCGCAGUGGGGAAUAUUGCACAAUGGAGGAAACUCUGAUGCAGCGAUGCCGCGUGAGGGAAGAAGGUUUUCGGAUUGUAAACCUCUGUCUUUGGGGACGAUAAUGACGGUACCCAAGGAGGAAGCUCCGGCUAACUACGUGCCAGCAGCCGCGGUAAUCUGAGGCGGGCUGGCAAGGC